GAUGAAGAACGUAGCGAAAUGCGAUAAGUUAUGCGAAUUGCAGAAUUCAGUGAGUCAUCGAAUCUUUGAACGCACAUUGCGCCCUGUGGUAUUCCGCAGGGCAUGCCUGUUCGAACGUCAUUUCAACCCUCAAGCCCCGCUUGGUGUUGGGCCCCGCCCGCUGUGGCCGGCCCUAAAGACAGUGGCGGCGCCGCCUGGCCCUCAGCGUAGUACAUCUCUCGCUCCAGGGUCCGGUGGCCGCCUGCCAGAACCCCCCAACUCUGUGGUUGACCUCGGAUCAGGUAGGGAUACCCGCUGAACUUAAGCAUAUCAAUAAGCGGAGGA
Molecule: unclassified non-coding RNA, 324 nt
Filed under: soil metagenome
Description: partial contains 5.8S ribosomal RNA, internal transcribed spacer 2, and large subunit ribosomal RNA
Rfam family: 5.8S ribosomal RNA (bases 1-120)
Source: RNAcentral